UCCAGGCACAGUGGCACAUUUCUAUAGUUCCAGGUACUUGGGAGGCUGAAAGAGGAAGAUGGCUUGAGUCCAGGAGUUCUGAGCUGUAGUGUACUAUGCCAAUUAGGUGUCCUCAAUAAGUUCGGCAUCAAUAUAGUGAACUUCCCAGGAGCAGAGGACCAACAGAUUGCCUAAGGAGGGGUGAACCGGCCUAGGUCGGAAACAGAGCUGGUCAAAAACUCCCGUGCUGAUCCGUUUUACUUAAUUAAUAUUGUACACUUAUUACUUUUCUGGUUUUUAUAGUUCAAUUUAUUUAU
Molecule: unclassified non-coding RNA, 296 nt
Organism: Mesocricetus auratus (golden hamster)
Lineage: Eukaryota; Metazoa; Chordata; Mammalia; Rodentia; Cricetidae
Rfam family: Metazoan signal recognition particle RNA
About the family: The signal recognition particle (SRP) is a universally conserved ribonucleoprotein. It is involved in the co-translational targeting of proteins to membranes. The eukaryotic SRP consists of a 300-nucleotide 7S RNA and six proteins: SRPs 72, 68, 54, 19, 14, and 9.
Source: Ensembl